RNAcentral lists this ribosomal RNA (585 nucleotides) under Saphocallus parviceps. RNAcentral's name for it is "partial 16S ribosomal RNA". It matches the Rfam family "Bacterial large subunit ribosomal RNA", at positions 1926 to 2734 of the family's 2925-position model. Lineage: Eukaryota; Metazoa; Arthropoda; Insecta; Coleoptera; Staphylinidae. The record is from RNAcentral.
AAUGGCCGCAGUAUUUUGACUGUGCAAAGGUAGCAUAAUCAUUAGUUUCUUAAUUAGAAACUGGAAUGAAAGGUUGGACGAGAAAAUAGCUGUCUCUUUAUAAAUUAGUUAGAAUUUUAUUUUUAAGUUAAAAAGCUUAAAUUUUUUUAAAAGACGAGAAGACCCUAUAGAGUUUUAUUUAUAAGUUUAACUAAAAAAUUAAUUAGUAUAAAUAAAAUUUUAAUUAAUAAUAAAUUUAGUUGGGGUGAUUAAAAAAUUUAAAAAACUUUUUUUUUAUGAUAACAUUGAUUUAUGAAUUAGUGAUCCAUUUAAUAUGAUUAUAAGAUUAAAUUACCUUAGGGAUAACAGCGUAAUUUCUUUUUAGAGUUCAAAUCACUAAAGAAGUUUGCGACCUCGAUGUUGGAUUAAAAUUUAUUUUUGGUGUAGAAGCUAGAAUAUUAAGUCUGUUCGACUUUUAAAAUUUUACAUGAUCUGAGUUUAAACCGGUGUGAGCCAGGUUGGUUUCUAUCUUUAAAUUAAUAAUAUAUUUUAGUACGAAAGGACCAAAUAUAAUAAAUAUUUUAUUUAAAUUGAAUUUUAUUAAAU